Cynoglossus semilaevis (tongue sole) is the source of this 1402-nucleotide long non-coding RNA. RefSeq lists it as uncharacterized. The transcript is spliced from 3 exons. NCBI's taxonomy places the organism in Eukaryota, Metazoa, Chordata, Actinopteri, Pleuronectiformes, Cynoglossidae. The record is from RefSeq and is a predicted model, not a curated record.
CCAACACCUUUUGUUACCUGGUGGAGGGCACAGCGUCAGAGCAACCCACUGAAUAAUGAUUCAGUCUUUUCUUUCUUGACAGAAUGGCUGUCUCCUCCCACACACCCUCCACACUCUGCCUCACCAUGGCAACGGCGGGAGGCUGAAACAUCCGUGCCCUUUCACCGACUGUCUGUUAUCGGCGAGUUCUGCCGGCACGCUGAGACCUCCGGUUCUCUGCUCCUCUGACUCCCCUUCACCACACGAUGAACGAUGAUGCAGGAAGACUGGGAUCAGUGGAUUAUCGUUGUUGGUGCAGAACUCCACCACCAGGGGGAAAAAAGGGAAACAGCCGAAGGGCAAAUCACUCAGGCCCAAAGAGCAUCAAAAGAAGAGAAAAACCGAAAAUUUGAAAACAAGUUCUGAACUCAGAGAUGCUUGUCACUCCCCUCUCCUCCCUCCUCCCCUCCCCUCCCCUCACCUUGCCUAUUGAUUAUUUGUCUCUUUUCCACUUAGCAAGCAUCACCAUUCUCCUGCAUAAACAUCAGAAAAACCCAGAGGGCUCAUCUCCAGGACAGAAUCAAUAACAGCAGGAGUCGUAUUCACAUUAUGAACAACAGGUCCUGCAUACUCAUCCUCCAGCCUGGACCGGGUCUGUUCAUCACUCAGUGUGCGCUGAAGAAAUAUACACUAACUGAAGGAAACAGCUGCGGAGUCACGGGACGUUUGCAUGUUUAACGACAUCCCAGAUCAGAGCAACGGAGCCAGCUUUUCUGGAAAUUGUAAAUUGACGUGAAGAAAACCAGCCUGGACUCAAAAGGUUUUUAUUUUUCAGUUUCCCAGCCUCGGGAACAAUCAGUCAUCAAUUUUCCUCUGAGGGUCAGAGGAGCAGCCGGAGCCAAACAACUCUUAUCAGACUAUCACGCAGACUAAUCGAAAUCUAAAAGUGCACUUAUGCAGACGGCCUGGAGCCGACGCUUCUGAAAAGGUCAGUAUUGUUGCCACUCUUGGACGAUGCUCAACAAUAAAAUAUAUGAGGAGUAAAAAAGUCAGGAUGAUUAAAGAGGUGGGUGAUUAGAAGCACGGAGCAGUUGACCUUGUAGAGAUGUUUCCACAGUCGCAGCUCACACCAGAACCAUCACGACAUCUCCUCCACUCAGAGGAUGUUCCUGAACAUCUCUUCUGCCCUCGUAAAAGUUUCAUCGAUCCUCCGCCGUCAGAAUGAUCCAGUGUUUCAAAACUCUGGACAAAUUAAUAAUUCUUUAAUUUUAAAAACGUCUUCACCUGCAGCAGGGACGGCCCCAGACGGAGGAUGUUCUCUGUCCUUCCGACCCCUGAAUAAUGACCGAAUUAAGGAGGACACGGGUUUGAAUUGUAAUCCAAAUGGUUGAAGAUGCUCUUUCUGAAAGCACAGACCAUAAAU